This 253-nucleotide ribosomal RNA is filed under the name uncultured bacterium. Its description in RNAcentral is "partial 16S ribosomal RNA". It matches the Rfam family "Bacterial small subunit ribosomal RNA", at positions 524 to 776 of the family's 1533-position model. The record is from RNAcentral.
UACGUAGGGCGCAAGCGUUGUCCGGAAUUAUUGGGCGUAAAGAGCUCGUAGGCGGUCUGUCGCGUCGGCUGUGAAAACCUGGGGCUCAACCUCGGGCCUGCAGCCGAUACGGGCAGACUAGAAUUCGGAAGGGGAGACUGGAAUUCCUGGUGUAGCGGUGGAAUGCGCAGAUAUCAGGAGGAACACCGGUGGCGAAGGCGGGUCUCUGGGCAGUAACUGACGCUGAGGAGCGAAAGCGUGGGGAGCGAACAGG